RNAcentral lists this ribosomal RNA (478 nucleotides) under uncultured Bacteroidota bacterium. Its description in RNAcentral is "bacterial SSU rRNA". It matches the Rfam family "Bacterial small subunit ribosomal RNA", at positions 902 to 1382 of the family's 1533-position model. Lineage: Bacteria; Pseudomonadati; Bacteroidota. The record is from RNAcentral.
CAAAUGAAUUGACGGGGGCCCGCACAAGCGGAGGAGCAUGUGGUUUAAUUCGAUGAUACGCGAGGAACCUUACCUGGGCUUAAAUGCUUAAUGACGUACUGGGAAACUGGUAUUUCUUCGGACAUUUUGCAAGGUGCUGCAUGGUUGUCGUCAGCUCGUGCCGUGAGGUGUCGGGUUAAGUCCCAUAACGAGCGCAACCCCUAUUGUUAGUUGCCAUCAGGUCAUGCUGGGGACUCUAACAAAACUGCCCGCGUAAGCGUGGAGGAAGGUGGGGAUGACGUCAAAUCAGCACGGCCCUUACGUCCAGGGCUACACACGUGCUACAAUGGCCGGUACAGAGGGCAGCCACUUGGUGACAAGGAGCAAAUCUCAAAAGCCGGUCUCAGUUCGGAUCGGAGUCUGCAACUCGACUCCGUGAAGUUGGAUUCGCUAGUAAUCGUAGAUCAGCAAUGCUACGGUGAAUACGUUCCCGGGCCUU